Molecule: small nuclear RNA, 157 nt
Organism: Sorex fumeus (smoky shrew)
Lineage: Eukaryota; Metazoa; Chordata; Mammalia; Eulipotyphla; Soricidae
Product: U1 spliceosomal RNA
Exons: 1
Source: RefSeq, a predicted model, not a curated record
AUACUUACCUUCAAAAUACCAUGAUCAUGAAAGUGAUUUUCCCAGGAUGAGACUUAUCCAUUGCAUUCUGGAUGUGCUGACCCCUGCAAUUUCUCCAAAUGUGGGAAACCCAACUGUGUAAUUUGUAUUAGUGGGGGAAUGUGUUCAUGCUCUCAAU